UAGGGAAUCUUCGGCAAUGGGGGGAACCCUGACCGAGCAACGCCGCGUGAGUGAAGAAGGUUUUCGGAUCGUAAAGCUCUGUUGUUAAGGAAGAACGAGUGUGAGAAUGGAAAGUUCAUACUGUGACGGUACUUAACCAGAAAGGGACGGCUAACUACGUGCCAGCAGCCGCGGUAAUACGUAGGUCCCGAGCGUUGUCCGGAUUUAUUGGGCGUAAAGCGAGCGCAGGCGGUUAGAUAAGUCUGAAGUUAAAGGCAGUGGCUCAACCAUUGUAGGCUUUGGAAACUGUUUAACUUGAGUGCAGAAGAGGAGAGUGGAAUUCCAUGUGUAGCGGUAAAAUGCGUAGAUAUAUAGAGGAUCACCGGUGGCGAAAGCGGCUCUCUGGUCUGUAACUGACGCUGAGGCUCGAAAGCGUGGGGAGCGAACAGG
RNAcentral lists this ribosomal RNA (429 nucleotides) under Bacteroidota bacterium. RNAcentral's name for it is "Bacteroidetes bacterium partial 16S ribosomal RNA". It matches the Rfam family "Bacterial small subunit ribosomal RNA", at positions 355 to 776 of the family's 1533-position model. Lineage: Bacteria; Pseudomonadati; Bacteroidota. The record is from RNAcentral.